Zonotrichia leucophrys gambelii is the source of this 1512-nucleotide long non-coding RNA. RefSeq lists it as uncharacterized. The transcript has 3 exons. Lineage: Eukaryota; Metazoa; Chordata; Aves; Passeriformes; Passerellidae. The record is from RefSeq and is a predicted model, not a curated record.
GCAGACUAGGUUGUCACAUGUCACUACAGAAAUGCUGCUUCUUUUUUUAACCCUGUUCACAAAUGUAUCCCAUGGCUUUGUGUGCUUUGUAGAGGAACUGUUUGCCAUGCUUUGUGUUACCUGGCUCUCCAGCUCCUGACCACCUCAGCAUUUCCCUUAUCUCAAACCUAGGACCAUAUCAAGGCAAAAAAACUUGGGACAGCACCAGGGCUUUCAUCUACUCACCUUUGUUCCACUUGUGUUCCCAGAGACUUCUCUGAGGGACCAGAAGCACUAAAUGGAGGUGGCUAUGCUGCCUGCCUGGGAGGCAGGGAGAUCUGGCUCAGGAAUAAGAUAUUUGAGCCUUCUAGCCAAGGAAACUUGCCACAGCAAUGAUGAUAUCAUGGAUGGAAUUUAUGGACUAUUGUGUAUUUAUCUCUUGUCAUUGCUAAGCAGUGCAAGCGAGCAAGCAAAACUCCCGUUAGCCAUAGCAUCUGUUCAGCUCUAGCGCAGAACUUCAAAAUUAGACCCUGUGUUUGCAAAUCCAGUGCCAUGGAAAAAGUGCCAUCUGGCCUAGAUCUGUUUCACAGUAAACUCGUUUAUUUUGUGAAACUGAGGAGACAGCCCAAAAAACUACAAGGCAUUUGCAGUGGUUGAUAUAGACACAAGAAUCAACCAUUCCUGUGCAAUUGGACAGUGCAAAACAAUGCACUUGAUCACAAUAUGGCUUCAGAAUAAUCUCAGCAAGAGCGAAGAUGAAGAAUCCCUGUUGGGCUUUUCUAAAGUUUUAGCAAGGUUGCUUGAAGAGGAGAUAGAUUUCCAUAGGCCAUAAUAAAAUAAGACAGGUGUCCUAAAUUAUCCUAAAACCACAGAAUCGAACUGUUUGCAAGAGCAAAUAAAGAGAGAAUAUUUCUGCAAAUAAAUGUCUUCAUUUUACUUUGCUUUGUGGUAGGAAAAGAAUUUUCAGGCAGCACAGAAGCAGUCUCUGAUCCAAAACCUCCUGGCAGCAUCAAAAAUCUGUCACAGUUGGUCAGUGAUUAGAUCCUGGUGAUAAGAACAGCAUCUAGAAUAUUGAAUUGCUAUCCUUUAUUUGAUGCUUUUGGAGGGACUUCAGACAUAUGCCAAGAGCCUCAAAAUAAUAAUUAUCUAAGCUACAGUUAUGAAAGAAGAUCAGAAACUUUAAAUGGUGGUCAACUCUUUGUCUGAAUUCUGCAUACAUUCGUGGCAAACCCCAGAGACAGUAUUCAAACAUACAGACCUAAAGACCAACAUUACAGGAGUGAAGAAAUAGUAUACCAAUUAUCAGUCACAAAGUAUUUCAAACUUGCUGGGUUUUUGACUGACAGUAGAGCAAUGCCUAAGGAAACAGCCUGGAAGCAACCCUGACACAAACUUGGCAUUUUUCAAGUGAGGUCCUGAGAGAUACCAAACACAGCUGUGCUGAGAGGAGAAAUUGUGCCUGGUCAUGCUCUUUGGAGUGGGACAAGCUGAGCUGUUCUGGGGACACGGUGGCUGUGCAGCCUCAUCCCAAGU